UACCGAAGUUGACCGUCGGAAGUGUGCUUCUGCGUGUACGAGGGCCUUUUAGUGAAGAAACCCUCUUUUUCUGCUCAUAGGUUCCAGGCUAUACUUUUAUUCUGUCGUUUCCCAAGGAGAAUUUUAAGUAGCAGAUGAAAGACAACAGAGUUAUGAAGGCGCGUGAAGCCUUUUCUUGUCUCUCAGCUUCAGCCGGAGCUAAUCUGAGGAUGACAGCAACAACAACAACAAAAACUGAGAAGAGUAGGAGAGACCUGAGUUUGUGGCCUACCCCAUCUCAGAUCAGGUCUAAGCCCUCUCCCUGGGAAUAUGGUAACUAUACCCUAUUUCAUAAUCCUCAUGUGAAUCUGCUUCCAACUGGCUAUGAAGAUGAAUAAAGAGAACCUGGACCACUACCUAGUGGGGACCACAGCGCUGAUUUGGACCAUUACUCUGCACAUGGACCAGAAAAGUGUGUUGCAUUUCUUUUUAAAAAUUUUUUUAAGAAUUUUUUUUUUUUUUGGUACCAAUGAAGAGUCACAUUCUACUUAAAAAUCCACAAGACAUUUUUUAAAAAGAUACAACCAAGAAAAAGAAAGGAGACACAGAUGAAGGAGAACUACUAAGAGGCUCUGAGGCAAAACCCUCAACCAGCAAAAAGAUUACAACUCACUUUAUUGUGAUACUUGUUUGAUUACAGUGAUCUGGAACCAAACCUGCAAUAUAUCAAGGGUCACAGGUGGUCAGAGCCUCUCUCAGCAGCUCAGGGCACUGCAAGGAUGCCUUUCCAUCAAAGAGUGCAUCACACCCACACCCAAACUCACCCAUAUAACUUAGACAUACCAGUUGACCUCUCGUGGACAUCUUUGGGAUGUGGGAGGAAACUUAAGAGUCCUGAGUGAAAACCCACACGGAUAUGGGGAGAACAGUGCCAACUCCACACAGAUAGUGGCCCCCACUCUGGGAAUUUUUCUCAUUAACAUUAUAAGGAAACGAGGAAAUGACCUUGGAGGAAAUGACAUUUGAGCGAAACAACGUUAUUCAAGGACCUGCUGUAUUGAGUUGUGUAACUCUAGCUAAUUAUUCUUUUUGUAUGUCAGUUUCCUCAUAUGUAAAACAUGAGUAUUAAAGCAGAUCUGCCGAUAGGACUC
Long non-coding RNA from Myotis daubentonii (Daubenton's bat), 1130 nucleotides. RefSeq lists it as uncharacterized. The record is from RefSeq and is a predicted model, not a curated record. NCBI's taxonomy places the organism in Eukaryota, Metazoa, Chordata, Mammalia, Chiroptera, Vespertilionidae.